GACGUAGGGCGCGAGCGUUGUCCGGAUUUAUUGGGCGUAAAGAGCUCGUAGGCGGCUUGUCGCGUCGACUGUGAAAUCCCGCGGCUCAACUGCGGGUCUGCAGCCGAUACGGGCAGGCUAGAGUUCGGUAGGGGAGACUGGAAUUCCUGGUGUAGCGGUGAAAUGCGCAGAUAUCAGGAGGAACACCGAUGGCGAAGGCGGCAUCCUGGACCGAGAUUGACGCUGAGGCGCGAAAGCUAGGGUAGCAAACGGG
This 253-nucleotide ribosomal RNA is filed under the name uncultured bacterium. RNAcentral's name for it is "partial 16S ribosomal RNA". It matches the Rfam family "Bacterial small subunit ribosomal RNA", at positions 524 to 776 of the family's 1533-position model. The record is from RNAcentral.